Molecule: transfer RNA, 73 nt
Filed under: Felis catus (domestic cat)
Lineage: Eukaryota; Metazoa; Chordata; Mammalia; Carnivora; Felidae
Also listed under: 5 other names
Rfam family: tRNA
About the family: Transfer RNA (tRNA) molecules are approximately 80 nucleotides in length. Their secondary structure includes four short double-helical elements and three loops (D, anti-codon, and T loops).
Source: Rfam by way of RNAcentral
GCCUGGCUGGCUCAGUUGGUAGAUCGUGUGACUCUUGAUCUCAGGAUUGUGAGUUCAAGUCCCAUGUUGGGUA